RNAcentral lists this long non-coding RNA (312 nucleotides) under Nicotiana benthamiana. RNAcentral's name for it is "long non-coding RNA (NBEN_LNC011513)". Lineage: Eukaryota; Viridiplantae; Streptophyta; Magnoliopsida; Solanales; Solanaceae. The record is from RNAcentral.
AUUCAGACUCAUACUGUUGUACCUCAUCCACCCACCUUUCUAUUCUCUCUCUCUUUUUGCCCUAUUCAAUAGGGUUUCCGUAUGACUUCUUGUUAGCCAAUUUUCUGAUGCAAUCAGUUGUUCAAGCUCUAUUGAUCGUGUUUCUAUUUGUUGAUCUGUCAAUUUUUGCUCUCAAAAGAGGGGUUUUUGGGCUUGGGCUGUGCAGAUUCUACCCCCCUUGUGUUUUUCAACAGUACUCAUGUCUAAAGUCUUCAAUUUUAGUGGUAUGUUCUUGAUCCUUUUCUGGGUUUUGCUUUAAAAUUCAAUCUGUAU